UAGUGGCGGACGGGUGAGUAACGCGUGGGUAACCUACCCUGUGCAGGGGGAUAGCAGCUGGAAACGGCUGAUAAAACCGCAUAACACGGCGAUGCCGCAUGGCAAUGCCGUCAAAUAUUUAUAGGCACAGGAUGGGCCCGCGUCUGAUUAGCUAGUUGGCGGGGCAACGGCCCACCAAGGCGACGAUCAGUAGCCGGCCUGAGAGGGUGAACGGCCACAUUGGGACUGAGACACGGCCCAAACUCCUACGGGAGGCAGCAGUGGGGAAUAUUGGACAAUGGGGGAAACCCUGAUCCAGCGACGCCGCGUGAGUGAAGAAGUAUUUCGGUAUGUAAAGCUCUAUCAGUAGGGAAGAUAAUGACGGUACCU
This 369-nucleotide ribosomal RNA is filed under the name Anaplasma phagocytophilum. RNAcentral describes it as "bacterial SSU rRNA". It matches the Rfam family "Bacterial small subunit ribosomal RNA", at positions 93 to 480 of the family's 1533-position model. Lineage: Bacteria; Pseudomonadati; Pseudomonadota; Alphaproteobacteria; Rickettsiales; Anaplasmataceae. The record is from RNAcentral.